UUACAGGUGGGGAAUGCUUGUUUGAGGUUGGUUCAGGAGAUGGUCCAACUUCAGGGGAAAGAUGUUUUCAUCAUGGACCUUCACACGCCCCCAACAUGGCUCCCACCCAUGGAUUGUGACCCUCUGCAUAGUCUUCCUGUGGAUUACGCGAAGAAGACACUGAUAUUUCCUCUGUGGACUCGAGGGCAUUAUCUGCU
Long non-coding RNA from Alosa sapidissima (American shad), 197 nucleotides. RefSeq lists it as uncharacterized. The record is from RefSeq and is a predicted model, not a curated record. The transcript is spliced from 3 exons. Lineage: Eukaryota; Metazoa; Chordata; Actinopteri; Clupeiformes; Clupeidae.